Molecule: long non-coding RNA, 603 nt
Filed under: Apteryx rowi (Okarito brown kiwi)
Lineage: Eukaryota; Metazoa; Chordata; Aves; Apterygiformes; Apterygidae
Description: lncRNA (ENSARWG00000010943.1)
Source: RNAcentral
CUACAUUCUCCCUUUCCUGGCUAUAGAAGACUCUGGGGGAGAAAAAUCCUCCAGCCUCUCUGUCCCGAGUGGAGUCUCUGAGAUGAAGGAUGGAAGAGAGCUGGCACUGGGGCACGUGCAGGUGCUGCUUCAGAAGCUAUGCAAAGAAAAAGCAGCUGGCAUGCUAUGAGUCACCAAGGAUCAGCGCAAUAAGUGGAGUUAAAGAAACAGAUACCCAGAAUCCCACUUACGCUACACACCAGGAGCUAAGGAAAGGUUUGGAUAGACAGCUAUGUGCACAGAGGUCCUGAUUCUGCAACAUAUUUAACACGCGAUUAAACCUAUAUUUGGCAAGUCCAAUUCAUCGCAAUGGGGAGUAAGCAACUGCUUGAAUGGUUUGCUUAAUUGAGGUCAAAUGACCUUUCUAAAUUGUAAUGAAGUACCAUAAUGAAAUACAGGGAAAAGAAAUUGCUUCCUAGGGUGUGAGGUUACUGGAAUUUAAUAACAGCCCCACAGUUUGGCAAAGAAAUCCCUUCAAAGUCUAAGUGAAUCCUCAUUGCCACAAAAACGUUUGCCAGCUAGAACCAUUUAAAUAAAUCAUAAAGCAGCUGAUUUCUGGAGCCA